CGCCCUCUCCCUCCAUUCCGAAUUACUUGUCGCAGGUAUGGAUGUAUCUAGAUGUAUUUUAGUUCUAGAUACAUCCAUUUCUUUGACGAGUAAUUUGGAAUGGAGGGAGUAGUUU
Triticum aestivum (bread wheat) is the source of this 115-nucleotide non-coding RNA. Lineage: Eukaryota; Viridiplantae; Streptophyta; Magnoliopsida; Poales; Poaceae. The record is from Rfam.